AUGCUCCACUGAAGUGCCUUCAGUCAUUUCCUGGCACUGGACACUGACACAAAUCCAGAUGCAGAUUUCUAUUUUCUCAUCUCUGUGUUUCUGUUUCUAAUGGAGUGGUUUGUUUUGUCUCGCUUUGACAGUGUGACUGUUCCAGAGAAACUGGAUUGUUUUAUAACCAGAUAUGCAGAGCACAUCCAUGAGAAGUGGUGUAUAGAAAAGUUUUCCAAUGGCUGGUCAUAUGGAGACCAGAUGUGUGAAAUCAGCAAGAACCAUCCACUCCUGAAACCAUACAAAAGCCUGUCUGAAAAGGAUAAAGAGACGUACUGCUGGCCCAUCAGAGAGUCUCUGAAGACCAUGCUUUCAUGGGGUUGGAGCAUUGACAGGAUCAGAGAGGGAGACUCUGUCA
This is a long non-coding RNA of Pelmatolapia mariae (spotted tilapia), 397 nucleotides long. RefSeq lists it as uncharacterized. The record is from RefSeq and is a predicted model, not a curated record. NCBI's taxonomy places the organism in Eukaryota, Metazoa, Chordata, Actinopteri, Cichliformes, Cichlidae. The transcript has 3 exons.